GACGAACGCUGGCGGCGUGCCUAACACAUGCAAGUCGAACGGAGAUACGAUUUCGGUUGUAUCUUAGUGGCGAACGGGUGAGUAACGCGUGAGCAACCUGACCUUCAGAGGGGGAUAACAUUUGGAAACAGAUGCUAAUACCGCAUAAGACCACGACACGACAUCGGGAUGAGGUCAAAGGAGCAAUCCGCUGAAGGAGGGGCUCGCGUCCCAUUAGAUAGAUGGCGGGGUAACGGCCCACCAUGUCGACGAUGGGUAGCCGAGCUGAGAGGCUGAUCGGCCACACUGGAACUGAGACACGGUCCAGACUCCUACGGGAGGCAGCAGUGGGGAAUAUUGGGCAAUGGGCGCAAGCCUGACCCAGCAACGCCGCGUGAGGGAAGAAGGCUUUCGGGUUGUAAACCUCUGUCCUUGGUGACGAAACAAAUGACGGUAGCCAAGGAGGAAGCUCCGGCUAACUACGUGCCAGCAGCCGCCGUAA
RNAcentral lists this ribosomal RNA (481 nucleotides) under uncultured bacterium. Its description in RNAcentral is "partial 16S ribosomal RNA". It matches the Rfam family "Bacterial small subunit ribosomal RNA", at positions 28 to 523 of the family's 1533-position model. The record is from RNAcentral.